Molecule: long non-coding RNA, 546 nt
Organism: Phascolarctos cinereus (koala)
Lineage: Eukaryota; Metazoa; Chordata; Mammalia; Diprotodontia; Phascolarctidae
Source: RefSeq, a predicted model, not a curated record
AUCAGAGCAAGUGGUCAGUAAAAGACAUGAACACAAGGAUGCCUACAGUGAUGAGUGUCCCCAGAACUUUACCUCUGCCAGCUGUAUCACCUGUCCUGAGGGAACACUCCCUACUUGCACCUAUGACUGAUUUCCUCCUGCCACUCUCCUAACUUGUCUCCUCUAGGCUCAGUGCCCUCCACUUCCAGAUAACUGCUCAGGCUGAGUACCAACCUCUGUCCAAGACCACAACCCAUAACCCCCUGGACCUGGCAUUGGACAAGUACCAGACACUGGCUAAAGCACCGACCCCUUGAAUGGAGGCUGAGACAGCUCUACAUCCAAUUCCAGCAGGAAGCAGUUUCAGAAGCUGAGACCUUUGUCCCUUACCCCAAAAGAUUUUGGGUCCCAUCUGUUUAAGGGGGGAAUGAUGGGGUGCUUGGGUGCUUGUACUGGAACCCCAGUUCCAUGACCAUGUUUCUCCCUAGCCUGAGAAACACUAUCCCUGGCAGUUUCUCCCCAGCCCAAGGACACUGUGCCUAGCAAUUACUCAUGAGUAGGCCCCAG